GAUGAACGCUGGCGGCGUGCCUAAUACAUGCAAGUCGAGCGAACGGACGAGAAGCUUGCUUCUCUGAUGUUAGCGGCGGACGGGUGAGUAACACGUGGAUAACCUACCUAUAAGACUGGGAUAACUUCGGGAAACCGGAGCUAAUACCGGAUAAUAUUUUGAACCGCAUGGUUCAAAAGUGAAAGACGGUCUUGCUGUCACUUAUAGAUGGAUCCGCGCUGCAUUAGCUAGUUGGUAAGGUAACGGCUUACCAAGGCAACGAUGCAUAGCCGACCUGAGAGGGUGAUCGGCCACACUGGAACUGAGACACGGUCCAGACUCCUACGGGAGGCAGCAGUAGGGAAUCUUACGCGAUGGGCGAAAGCCUAACGGAGCAACGCCGCGUGAGUGAUGAAGGUCUUCGGAUCGUAAAACUCUGUUAUUAGGGAAGAACAUAUGUGUAAGUAACUGUGCACAUCUUGACGGUACCUAAUCAGAAAGCCACGGCUAACUACGUG
Molecule: ribosomal RNA, 497 nt
Filed under: uncultured bacterium
Lineage: Bacteria
Description: partial 16S ribosomal RNA
Rfam family: Bacterial small subunit ribosomal RNA
Source: RNAcentral